AAUUGUGUGUGUUGAAGAUUAGGAAAAAGAUAGUGGUUAUUUUUUCCUAAAUAACUUUCUUCUCCACCCCACCCCACCUCCCACUCUUUUCUGAAGUUGCUGGCAUUUGGGUCAAGGUUUUAUUAAAGCUACAUUUUAUAACACUGGCACAAAAAAAAAAAAGUAGUUUUAAGCUUGUUUGCACAGUUCUUUUUUUUCCAUUGGAAAUGGAAUUCAUUGCCUUAGGUCUUUUUAAAUAGUGUAUUAUUAUCGUUGGGGCUGGCUCUAUGCUUGAAAACCAGUUUAUUUAUAACCUGUUAUAAGUGCUAUAUUCUGUUUGCAGUUAGGAAAUGCAGAAUUCAAAGUGAUCUCCUAGCUUGUAAGCAAACUGAGAUGCACUAUCCCUUUUCUAUAAAAAAUGAGUUAAUGUGUCAAGAAACCAACUCUAGUAAAGUGAGGUUUAAUAUUUCCCUUUCCUAUGUGUUUUAUCUAAUUAUUUUGGUUGUUAAUAUGGUGAUAAAUAAAAGUCAAGGUAAAUUUAAAUAUUAAGAUUUCUGAUUUAUUGAGCUUGAAUUAUGUCACCAUACUUCCACUUAUGUAAAAAUGAACGUGGCACCAUGGUGAAACUUAACGAGAAGUAGUUUCUCAGUUGUAAAAAUUUUGAUUUAUUCUCUUUCGUGUGACCUCCUUCCCUGUUGUCUUGAACCAUAGCAAAAGGAUACUGCAUCUCUCAUUACUGUAGUGUUGAGGGUAUUGAAAUUAUAUAAAAACACAUCUCAGUCUCUGUUUCUUGGAAAGGUAUCUGUUAAGUCCUGCUAGCUGACUUAUAAGACUAAGCAGGAAAAAUAAAGAUAAAUGUGUUUCAUGUUUUGCACACAAAUGCAGGAUUUGUAUAAUCACAUGACUUCAUAGUUGUGAUUUCAAAAAAGAAGGAAUUUCUCCUUUAUCUUUUCUUGCAGUUAAUGUAAGAAUACUCUAAAUCUCUAAGCUUCUGAAGUGUUAGAGGUAGAGAUGGUCUAGUAAAGGUGUAGUAGUAAUGUUUUAUCCACUUAGCAUGUGUUUAUUUUUCCUUAUGUACUACUCAAAGGUGACUUAUUUGUUCAGCUCAGUGAUAUUCCAUCUAAAAAUCAUUCAUUAGCAAAAGGAGAAGCAAUCUCAACGUAACAAAGAAAUCAGAAGUGUUUCUUAUUAUUUCGUGUUGAGUUGAAUAUUUGACCCUAACACUUUUCUACAUACAAAAUACAAGUAUCUUGAAGGUUCUUCAUAAUUGCACUAUAGAGGAAUUUAGUAUGUCAUAAGUACUUUUUAAAGAUUUGGCAUUCAACUGUAAUAUCUAUAUGUUGGUUAAUUUUCUUAUGAGCCCCAUGAUGGAAAAACUUAAAGAUGAAUUUGAGAAAAAUUGAAACAAAUUAGCUUAUCAGGUUCUGUUAAAUUGUUACAUGUAUCUUGCUUAAAUUUAUUUCAUUAAUUUGUAUUCACCCAAUUACAUAAAGCAAAUUUGGAGGAAACAGC
Galeopterus variegatus (Sunda flying lemur) is the source of this 1491-nucleotide long non-coding RNA. RefSeq lists it as uncharacterized. The record is from RefSeq and is a predicted model, not a curated record. The transcript has 2 exons. NCBI's taxonomy places the organism in Eukaryota, Metazoa, Chordata, Mammalia, Dermoptera, Cynocephalidae.